Non-coding RNA from Schistosoma margrebowiei, 45 nucleotides. NCBI's taxonomy places the organism in Eukaryota, Metazoa, Platyhelminthes, Trematoda, Strigeidida, Schistosomatidae. The record is from Rfam.
AGCCGGCUGACGUGUCCUAAAUAGGACGAAACGUGCAUUCUGGAU